CUCCUCUAUGAUCUUUCUUUAGUUUGUGCACUUUUUGUGGGUUUGAGAGCAAAUAUUGCACUGCAGAAAAGAACACUGAAAUCUCCACAAGGUAGCAUGUAUGAGUGGAUUAAUAAUGAGUCAGCUUGCUUCAACCCAAAGGCUGCAAAAACUGCAAAGUAUAAGCAGAAUGACAUGUUUAGUGGUCCUUCUUAGCUAUGGCUUUGGCUUUCUCUUCGUCUUCCUAACGAUGAGUGUCGCAUCCUCAUCUUAAUCUCGGUGCUAUCCUACCUGAGCUUUUUCUCACCGCUUUUUUUUUUCUGUUGUGUAUUCUCUUUUUUGACUUGUUGCCUUUCGUUCCUCUACCUACCCCAUUCUUCUUGACCUUGUAAGACCUUUUCUUGACCUUGUAAGACCCCGUGUUAUCUCUUACGUCUUUAUGUUUUGUUUUUUUGCAAAUCUUACGUCAUGACUUCUUCAUGUAAGCUUUGUUUGGUCUCCUUCUUCUUUCCUACUCAACUCUCGUUCUCCUUCCUUGUCUAUCCCUCCUGAGCUGUUGAUUUUAUUCCAUGU
RNAcentral lists this long non-coding RNA (552 nucleotides) under Solanum lycopersicum (tomato). RNAcentral's name for it is "trans-acting siRNA 3-1 (TAS3-1)". Lineage: Eukaryota; Viridiplantae; Streptophyta; Magnoliopsida; Solanales; Solanaceae. The record is from RNAcentral.